This 5105-nucleotide long non-coding RNA is filed under the name Sus scrofa (pig). Its description in RNAcentral is "lncRNA (ENSSSCG00055029148.1)". Lineage: Eukaryota; Metazoa; Chordata; Mammalia; Artiodactyla; Suidae. The record is from RNAcentral.
CUUUUUGCCAUUUCUUGGGCCGCUGCCGUGGCAUAUGGAGGUUCCCAGGCUAGGGGUCGAAUCAGAGCUGUAGUUGCCAGCCUACGCCAGAGCCAGAGCCAUGCGGGAUCUGGAGCCGCGUCUGCAACCUACACCACAGCUCACAGCAACGCCGGAUCGUUAACCCACUGAGCAAGGGCAGGGACCGAACCCGCAACCUCAUGGUUCCUAGUCGGAUUCGUUAACCACUGCGCCACGACGGGAACUCCCCUUGUAAAUUUUUUCCCGUUUUUUGUCACUUGUGCCCUUGGGGAGCCUCGGCUUUCCCGACCCCUCCUCUGCAGCUCGUCUUUUGAGACUUUCCCUUCUGCUUUGCUUCCUCCUUCGGACCCCUUUGCGUUGCAUUGUCAGAACUACAUGUUCCUGAGCUCCCAGCUCUCUGGAAGCCGGUUUCUGCCACAGCCGUUGCUAUGGAAUUGUGUACAAGACUCCAAAACGGGACACCUGGACCCUCUCCCCGACCUCACACAGCCCUUAGGAGCCUCUCAGACGGACGACAGGAAUGAUUCCAGAGACUGGGUAUUAGCUCACAUAGCACCAGAUGCCAAAGAAGCCUCAAGAUAUGCAAAAGCUCAGGCGAAGUAGAUGGUUGUUACUUCCUUACAUAAAGCCAACCCGGGUUUGCCUAAUUAGAGAAGGCUUUCCUCUAAUUCGGGAACCCAAUCUCCUUGCAUCUUAUGGUUGUGCCGCCAUCUGUAACACCUGGCUUCCCAGAUGUGUCCAAGGCCACAGCUUCUGCAUUGCCCCACCUAUGAAAGAGUAUGGCAGCUGCCUAGCUGUGGGCCCAGGGAGAAAAGAGGGAGUCGGUAGCUGGUCAGACUCUGCCACAAAGUGUAAAAUGCCUUAUACUUUGGAAAUCACUUUCAUGGAUGUUAACUCAGGCUUUUCUCGAUUUGGUCCCUCAAGAGUGUAUGUGUUAAGCCUUUACUGGGUGCUAAAGAGUUUAAGAUGUAAGGGGUCUCCUGUGCCCCUAGCAUUCCCCCUCAAAGCACUCAUGGGGACUUCUCUGCUCCCCUGUUCAUCCAACGUAAUGAACCCCCUGGCUGGGCUGAUGAAAGCUCUGCUGUUACCAAAGUAGUGUCAACUUCCACAUCAUGGAAUUCUUUUCCCCAAAAUUCAUCCUGUGGCCACAGGCACUGCACAAGCAACAUGGGAUACAGUGGUAAACAAGAAAGACACUGUAUUCAAAAUAAUUCCAUCCAGGAGGUCCCAUUAUGGCUCAGCAGGUUGAAACCUGACACAGUAUCCUUGAGGAUGUGGGUUUGAUCCCUGGCCUCGCUCAGUGGGUUAAGGAUCUGGGAUUGCCAUGAGCUGUGGUGUAGGUUGCAGAUAUGGCUUGGAUCCCACGUUGCCAUGGCUGUGGCAUAGGCAACAGCUGCAGUUCUGAUUCGACCCCUAGCCCAGGAAUGUCCAUAUGCCACAGGUGCAGUUCUAGAAAAAAAAGAAAAACAAAAGAAAAGAAAGAAAGAAAAAAUGUCAUCAAAUGUCGAGGAGGCAGGGCACAUGUUUGUAUUCCCAUCUGAAAGCUGAGUUUAAAAAGCUGCCUGAAGUUGUACUGUAGUCAGUGGCAGACAAGGGCUGGGGUAGAGGUCACUCAAGACCUGCUUUCCACAGCAAUGACAAUAAAUGGCACGUAGCUGAGUUAGCUUUCAUGCUUCCUGCUCUUUUGUGUAAAUGAGUUCAAGUCUGCGGGCCUGACAUCAGAAGGAAAUUCAGCUUUGGGGAAGAAACACUCUAAGAAACUGGGAAAUCUAGAUGUUGUCCCCAAUACUGUAUUAGGUUGGCAGGGGGGUGCCACCCCCGCCUUCUCUGCUUGAGGAUGAUGGAGGCUGAGUGGUGGGGGGGGGGCACUCUCCAUCCAGGGCCUCCCGAGCGGCAAUCACACCUCGCGGCUUGGCCCCACCGCUUGGCCUCUUUCAGUCUGGUGAGUUUCUCCUCCCAGACAUUCGCGCUGUGGAUUCAUUGGCGUCCUUCUGAACAAAGCCCCAAACAUUUGGUUUGGGCUUCGUUUCUCAAGUUACCACUUACCUAAUAUGCUUUGGCUCUGCUUCCAAGGAACAGGCCUGCAGAAAGGACGCCAUCUACCAACGUCCUGGCCCCUGGCAGGUCCAGCCAGGUUCUGCCUGGGCCAACAGUGCCAGUUACACACAGAGCUUGUUGGGCAACUGGCCAUGGAAGUGGCUCCCAUCUGGGCCUUUCCCAGGCUGCUCCAGAGCAGAGAGAGAUGGGCUGCAUGGCUUCAUAAAAUCACUGCAGACGUGGAGAGAUGGGGCCAAUGGGUUUGCUUUCGAGAUGGGUGAGGCUUUCAGGACUCAUCUGGGCAGAAUGGAUGAACAUUCCCUUGGACCAAACAUCGGAUGUUUAUUUUAUAACCAUUUUUAGAAUCUUGCACCAUGUAAAUUAAGUUUAUUGUAAAACGUUUCGAAAAUAAAAGAACUAAAAAUCCUGUCUGGCAUCACCCCGUGGGUAUCAUUAUGCUUCAUAUUUUGGUCUCUACUGUGGACUAAUGGGUUUCCCCUCCCCUCCCUCUCACCUAUAUUCCUGUAUUGAGGCCCUAAGCGCCAGUGUGACUUAGUUUGAGAUGGCUUUUUAGAUGAUUAAAGUUAAUCGAAGUCCUAAGGCAUAAGGGCUGGUCCUAUUUCAACUGGUGGCCUUUGGAGAUCGAUGAAGAAAAGAGGGCUCCUUCCUCCACCCACGCCUGCAGGCACGCGCCCACGAGGAAAGGCCGUGUGAGGUCACAGGGAGAAGGAAGCCGUCUGCAGCCCAGGAGGCGAGCCCUCACCAGACACACAAUCAGCUGGUACCUUGACCUGGACCUUCCCAGCCUCCGGAACUGUGAGAAAUUAAUUUCUGAAAUCUUACGUAGCGCUUUCUUCAUUGCUCGCUUAUCUUAAUUAUAAAAUAGGAAUUGUGUCCUGUGUCAUUAAGGAUUGUUUCAUAUGUCGCAUGGGAGGGCUGUAACAUAUUUAUUAUAGAGUAUUCACUGGUAUGGAUCUGCUACAAAUUAUUUAAGCGAUGUUUCAUUUUUUUGGACAAGUAGGUUGUUUCAAUGUUUUCACUCUUAUAGAUGGUGCUACAAGGACCCUACGUCUCGCCUGGGCUCUGGAACUCACUGGCUCUGCAUUUCAGCUUCUUCACCUGUAAAAUGGGGAUCAUGAAAGAACCUGCCAUCCAGAGAUAUUGCAAUGACAACCCAAAUAAAGAGCUUAGAACAGGAGUUCCAGUGAUGGCAGAAUGGGCUGAGCAUCUGACUGCAGGUAUUCUGGUUGCCGCAGAGGUGUGGGUCCGAUCCCCAGCCUGGCACAGUGGGUUAGAGGAUCCAGGGUUGCCAAAACUGUGGCUCAGAUUCAAUCCCUGGCCUGGGAACUUUCAUAUGCCGUGGGGGCAGCCAUUAAAGAAAAAAAAAAAAAACGGAGCUUAGAACAGGGACAGGCACAGAGUAAAUGCUCAAUAAAUAACAGAGCAGAUUAAGAGCUGUCUCAAGGCUUCCCCAGAUCCUUGCAAUUCAGGUGAGCUAAGCCUUCCCUUCUAUAGAAUGGUUGCAGCAAAGUCUCUCCUAGCCCCCUCCUCUCCUUCCUCUUUUGCCCAUAGUUAGUGCAAUGCCCACUUCCAUCAGCAUGAAGGCGCUGGUACCUGGAAGCACGUGAGGGCUACAGAACUGUGGGGAGCCACCUCCAUGCCUUUCCAUGCCCCCAUCAAAUAUUAGGCUCUUAAGAAAGAAAAACAGACUGUCCCCAAAGAGGAGGAAACAACACAAAUGGAUCUGUGGUUAGUAUUGGAAGAAAUUUAACCCAAGUGUGCUGAAUAAGGGAGUGUAUUUCUUGUCCAGGAGACUCCAGUUGGAGAUCCUGGUGUUCCAAACGAAGCCCUGUUUUCCUCUUUACUAUUAUUAUUUAUUGUCUUUUUGGCCACGCCCACAUCAUGUGGAAGUUCCCAGGCCAGGGAUCGAACCCUCUCCACAGUAAUGACAACACCGAGUCCUUAACUGCCAGGCCACUGGGGAACUCCUCCUCUUUUUUAUUAAUAGCAGUUCCAUCUCUAAAAGAAAGAAGAGUGGAGAAAAGAGUGGCAGCCUCACUCCCGCAACAAAGAAAGGAAUCCAGAUUUCAAAACACUCAGACUUAUUGCUCUUUCAAAAGGCAACUUCAGAAAACUGUCCACCCCUCCAUCAAAGCACGGAGCUGUUUGAAGCCACCCCCUUCCCAAGCCUACCUGCUGAUUAUUCAGGAAAAUAUUAUAUUGACAUGACUCCUUAGAAUAGAAAGGCUUUGCAGUGCUUGGGUACAACCCUAGGACUAUCUUGCACCCACACAUGAUUAAAAAUUUAGAUGGCUAAACUUUGAAACAAUCAAAUGCAUUAGAAGCUUCUUAAUGAGCCGCUAUCUGAACUAAAGCACUGCAAACUUCAGAACAGUGCUUCUGUGGAAAUUCCGUCGUCUUUGAUCCGGUAAAGUCACGGCGGGGUGGAUUUAUUUCAAGUUUAUUUUUUUGGCAUACUGGUCCUCCCGAAAUAUUGGGAGAUAUCUUUCUUAGCAAGAUGUGGGAGAAAACAAUGGUACCGUCUCUUUCAUUUAUCUGCAAUUUGACAGGAGUGCAGUUUAUUAACUUGAAAAGAGGCAGAGACAUUAUCUGAAGCCUGGAGACUCUAGUGGGGAUUGCCUUCUUUUUGUACCAGUGGGAGUUGGCGACAUUUUGAACCUGCUCACCAUUAAAUGCCUUCCCGAGUGGUGGAAAAGCCUUUAAAGAGAAAGCCGAUGCAUUUAUGAUGUAAAUUUGUUAUUUUGACAGUCUUUGAAAUCUGUCAUAUUCACAUCCAAUUUAAUGCCUUGCACACACAAAAAGUCCCUUUUCUUUUAAAACACUUUUAAGAUUUUCAAAGCCAUUUUCAUGUAGCAAACUAUUGUUAUACCUAAUAUAUCCUGAAAGUAUUUUAGCAGAGGAACGUAUAGGAUUCUGUUUUAAGUCAUGUCGAGUUUUAAAACAUGGCAGUCUUCAAAUACGCUUUGACCAGGCUGUCUCUUUUUGAUUAGUUAAAAGCUGUUCUUGAUUUCCAUGUACACAGGUAG